GACGAACGCUGGCGGCGUGCUUAACACGUGCAAGUCGAACGGAAAGGCCCUGCUUUUGUGGGGUGCUCGAGUGGCGAACGGGUGAGUAACACGUGAGUAACCUGCCCUUGACUUUGGGAUAACUUCAGGAAACUGGGCUUAAUCCGGGAUAGAGCCUCCUCUUCCAGGUGGGGGUUGGAAAAUUUUCGGCGGUUGGGGAUGGACUCGCGCGUUAUAAGCUUGUGGGUGGGGUAGUGGCUAACCAAGGCUUUGACGGGUAGCCGGCCUGAGAGGGUGACCGGCCACAUUGGGACUGAGAUACGGCCCAGACUCCUACGGGAGGCAGCAGUGGGGAAUAUUGCACAAUGGGCGGAAGCCUGAUGCAGCAACGCCGCGUGCGGGAUGACGGCCUUCGGGUUGUAAACCGCUUUCGCCUGUGACGAAGCGUGAGUGACGGUAAUGGGUAAAGAAGCACCGGCUAACUACGUG
This 468-nucleotide ribosomal RNA is filed under the name uncultured bacterium. Its description in RNAcentral is "partial 16S ribosomal RNA". It matches the Rfam family "Bacterial small subunit ribosomal RNA", at positions 28 to 507 of the family's 1533-position model. The record is from RNAcentral.